Molecule: long non-coding RNA, 648 nt
Organism: Chelonoidis abingdonii (Abingdon island giant tortoise)
Lineage: Eukaryota; Metazoa; Chordata; Testudines; Testudinidae
Source: RefSeq, a predicted model, not a curated record
GGCAGCUGCUAAAAGCAGACGGUGGGGCAGAAGCCCAUUAGAUUGUGGUGUAAUUAUCAGAGAAGAACAGGAAAUGGAGAGAAACGCAACUUGCACAGAGCAAGAAAUACGCAGAAAGAAAGCAGAAUGGAACUACGUGCAAUGAACAAGAAAAGAGACUUUGGAUUACACCAGUGCAAGAAAGUGUGGCCUGUGGCCUCCAUUGCUUUGUAACUGCAGGGGGAGGAAGUAUGACUGAGCAAAAUACAGUAUUUUAUUUCUGGCGAAUUCAAACAACAAACCAUCUCCAUGCAACCGAGAAGGGGAGAUCAGGAACAAGCAAACAGCAGAGUCAUGUUUCAGUCAUCCAAACAAGGAGCAGACACAAUACCAUAUGCCUUAAGUGACCAAUCACACGCCAUGAAGAACAAAUGGUCGAACAGAACAGUCUGCACAGUUCCCAGAGAUUGAACAUGUUUUCCCCAAACUAGUUGACAAAGAUGAGGCUGUUUGGCCGGGUUGUUAUGAGACAAGAGCACAGUCCAGCUGUAUGGAGUUAGCUGAUCAGUGUGAGAGCAUUUCGCUGUUGAUCAAAGCACCAGCUGUCACACAUGAUUCAGAAGUGAAAGACCCAGAAUACCCUGGUCAUCAUUUUUUCAUGGGGAAGAG